RNAcentral lists this ribosomal RNA (492 nucleotides) under uncultured bacterium. RNAcentral's name for it is "partial 16S ribosomal RNA". It matches the Rfam family "Bacterial small subunit ribosomal RNA", at positions 29 to 507 of the family's 1533-position model. The record is from RNAcentral.
AGUGAACGCUGGCGGUAGGCCUAACACAUGCAAGUCGAACGGCAGCACAGUAAGAGCUUGCUCUUACGGGUGGCGAGUGGCGGACGGGUGCGGAAUACAUCGGAAUCUACUUUUUCGUGGGGGAUAACGUAGGGAAACUUACGCUAAUACCGCAUACGACCUACGGGUGAAAGCAGGGGAUCUUCUGACCUUGCGCGAUUGAAUGAGCCGAUGUCGGAUUAGCUAGUUGGCGGGGUAAAGGCACACCAAGGCGACGAUCCGUAGCUGGUCUGAGAGGAUGGUCAGCCACACUGGAACUGAGACACGGUCCAGACUCCUACGGGAGGCAGCAGUGGAGAAUAUUGGACGAUGGGCGCGAGCCUGAUCCAGCCAUACCGCGUGGGGGAAGAAGGCCUUCGGGUUGUAGAGCCCUGUUGUUGGGAAAGAAAAGCAGCAGGUUAAUACCCCGCUGUUCUGACGGUACCCAAAGAAUAAGCACCGGCUAACUUCGUG